RNAcentral lists this ribosomal RNA (260 nucleotides) under uncultured bacterium. RNAcentral describes it as "partial 16S ribosomal RNA". It matches the Rfam family "Bacterial small subunit ribosomal RNA", at positions 99 to 354 of the family's 1533-position model. The record is from RNAcentral.
CGAACGGGUGAGUAACACGUGGGCAACCUGCCCAAAGAGGGGGAUAACACUUGGAAACAGGUGCUAAUACCGCAUAACCAUAGUUACCGCAUGGUAACUAUGUAAAAGGUGGCUAUGCUACCGCUUUUGGAUGGGCCCGCGGCGCAUUAGCUAGUUGGUGGGGUAAAGGCCUACCAAGGCAAUGAUGCGUAGCCGAACUGAGAGGUUGAUCGGCCACAUUGGGACUGAGACACGGCCCAAACCCCUACGGAAGGCAGCAG